UGGAAAGAGAUACCAAAAUUUGGAGGC
This 27-nucleotide non-coding RNA is filed under the name Rattus norvegicus (Norway rat). The record is from RNAcentral. Lineage: Eukaryota; Metazoa; Chordata; Mammalia; Rodentia; Muridae.